RNAcentral lists this ribosomal RNA (253 nucleotides) under uncultured bacterium. RNAcentral's name for it is "partial 16S ribosomal RNA". It matches the Rfam family "Bacterial small subunit ribosomal RNA", at positions 524 to 776 of the family's 1533-position model. The record is from RNAcentral.
UACGGAGGAUGCAAGCGUUAUCCGGAAUGAUUGGGCGUAAAGCGUCCGCAGGUGGCUAUGUAAGUCUGCUGUUAAAGAGUGAGGCUCAACCUCAUAAGAGCAGUGGAAACUACAUAGCUAGAGUGCGUUCGGGGCAGAGGGAAUUCCUGGUGUAGCGGUGAAAUGCGUAGAUAUCAGGAAGAACACCGGUGGCGAAAGCGCUCUGCUGGGCCGACACUGACACUGAGAGACGAAAGCUAGGGGAGCGAAUGGG